Molecule: non-coding RNA, 1236 nt
Organism: Triticum urartu
Lineage: Eukaryota; Viridiplantae; Streptophyta; Magnoliopsida; Poales; Poaceae
Source: RefSeq, a predicted model, not a curated record
AAUGGCGAAAACUAUAACUGCUGCUCUGCGAGAGUCUAAGCUCAUAGCCUCGUUUUUCCUUGCUGGUUCGAAAUUUUUUUCUUCAGGUGCUGCUUGUCCUGUUCCUCCCACUGAGAUAAUUCGCGUUGGAUACAAGUUUGGCCGUGAACCUUUCGGGCCAGCGUAUGGCAUUCAAGUUCCGAAAGGUUCUGACGGUUUACCCGAGACUGUUAAUUGGCUUGUUGUGCCUGGGGUUGUUUCACAGAGCAAAGACCAGCGCCAUUGUGGUGGGUGCUACAUUGUUGCUGGGCUUGGAGCAUAUCUUCUUUGAACUAUCUGCUGAACAAGUCAAGUAUUUGUCUUUCGGCCCAACACAUAUUGGACGUGAAUACUGUGACCAAUCAUGGUUGCGAAGGUGGUUGGCCAGAGAAUGUAUUUGACUUCAUCAUCAGAAAUGGUGGGGUCGUAUCUGAGAAUGAUUACCCAUACUGUGCUAUCAGAGGUCCCUGCAAGGCUGUUGAGGCUGCGGGAGUUACUAUUGCUAAUUGGGCGGCUGUAGAACCGACAGAAGAAGCUGUGAAGUAUGCAGUUGCUUACCAACCUGUUGUGGCAUCAAUCUACACUGACAGCAAAUUUAUGACUUACAAAAGGAUUUCCUUAUUGUUCCUAAAAACCAUGGUCCAGUAGACCACUCUGUUCUUCUAAUCGGAUAUGGUAAGUGCCCAUGAUAGGGCGAAUGUUGGAUCGGUAUGAAUUCAUUCGAGGAGCCAUGGGGCAUGACAUGUCUCCACUACAACAACAUUUUCUAUAUACCAAGGAAUACGUGUCAUGUGGGGGGAGCCUUUGGAGUGCUGUACGAUGUUGUUCUUCCCUUGGGAGCUUCUAUGGUUCCUAAGGUUAAAACUCGAAGUGAGAGCUGCCCUUUGUUUCAAGUAGGUGGGCAUACCUAACAGCUGAUGCUUCUGGCGGCUCGUCCCAGUUCACUUUUCUUUUGGUUCCAAAACUACUUGUCCCAUGGAGUUUGAGUUAUGUUUGGAGUCUUGGCUCUGAGCUCCUGAUAAACCUGUGAUCUGAUGCUGCACUUAUACCAUCGUGUCUUGACUCUUGAGUUAUGUAUUACAUCCGUCCCAAAUUACGAGAUUUAGCUAGAUACAUUUGUAUCUACACAAAUGAAGACAAAUAAUUUGGGACGGACGGAGUAUAAACAGAAUGAUGUUGGGCAGCGGAAAUUUGUUUUGGCUCUAAGUUUCAUAUGCA